Molecule: ribosomal RNA, 280 nt
Filed under: uncultured bacterium
Lineage: Bacteria
Description: partial 16S ribosomal RNA
Rfam family: Bacterial small subunit ribosomal RNA
Source: RNAcentral
CGCACGAGCGCACCCUUGUCCUUAGUUGCCAGCGAGUAAUGGUGGGAACUCUAAGGAGACUGCCGGUGACAAACCGGAGGAAGGUGGGGAUGACCUCAAGUCAUCAUGGCCCUUACGGCCAGGGCUACACACGUACUACAAUGGUCGGUACAGAGGGUUGCAAGACCGCGAGGUGGAGCCAAUCCCAGAAAGCCGAUCUCAUUCCGGAUCGGAGUCUGCAACUCGACUCCGUGAAGUCGGAAUCGCUAGUAAUCGCGAAUCAACAUUGUCGCGGUGAAUA